AACGAACGCUGGCGGCAUGCCUAACACAUGCAAGUCGAACGAGACCGCUGACUUCGGUUGGCGCGUCUAGUGGCGCACGGGUGCGUAACGCGUGGGAAUCUGCCCUUGGGUACGGAAUAACAGUUAGAAGUGACUGCUAAUACCGUAUAAUGACUUCGGUCCAAAGAUUUAUCGCCCAGGGAUGAGCCCGCGUAGGAUUAGCUUGUUGGUGAGGUAAAGGCUCACCAAGGCGACGAUCCUUAGCUGGUCUGAGAGGAUGAUCAGCCACACUGGGACUGAGACACGGCCCAGACUCCUACGGGAGGCAGCAGUGGGGAAUAUUGGACAAUGGGCGAAAGCCUGAUCCAGCAAUGCCGCGUGAGUGAUGAAGGCCUUAGGGUUGUAAAGCUCUUUUGCCCGGGAUGAUAAUGACAGUACCGGGAGAAUAAGCUCCGGCUAACU
This 441-nucleotide ribosomal RNA is filed under the name uncultured bacterium. RNAcentral's name for it is "bacterial SSU rRNA". It matches the Rfam family "Bacterial small subunit ribosomal RNA", at positions 29 to 502 of the family's 1533-position model. The record is from RNAcentral.